RNAcentral lists this long non-coding RNA (11191 nucleotides) under Triticum aestivum (bread wheat). RNAcentral's name for it is "long non-coding RNA (TAES_LNC009158)". The record is from RNAcentral. Lineage: Eukaryota; Viridiplantae; Streptophyta; Magnoliopsida; Poales; Poaceae.
CCAAAACCCGAACCAAAGCCAGAGCCCAAGCCUGAACCUGAACCGAAACCGAAGCCGCCUUCAAAGUGCAAACCACCGACAACUCACAAUUGAUGGGAUACUUAUAUAUGAGAGUAGUUGGAGGAGACCCCGCACGGAGCCACAAUGUGCUAUUUCUAGAAUAAGUGGUGUAGUAUUCCCUGUAUUCCAUUUCUUUUUAUUUUUCCAUGCGCGCGUGAUGAGUACUAGUACUCUGUAAUUACUAUUUGGUUGUUGGUAUAUGUUCAUCUACUUUGUAUAUGACUCGACUCAUUGUUCUUUUGAGUAUCUACGCAUGAUUGUAUUCAUUCACAUGAAUUAGCUAUUUUGUUAGAGGACUGCAGUCUAUGUUUUUUUUGUAUGGGUUGCAAUCUCGGUUAUUUUCUCUAUGGGAUUGUUUCAUAUUAUGUGGUCUUUUUNNNNNNNNNNNNNNNNNNNNNNNNNNNNNNNNNNNNNNNNNNNNNNNNNNNNNNNNNNNNNNNNNNNNNNNNNNNNNNNNNNNNNNNNNNNNNNNNNNNNNNNNNNNNNNNNNNNNNNNNNNNNNNNNNNNNNNNNNNNNNNNNNNNNNNNNNNNNNNNNNNNNNNNNNNNNNNNNNNNNNNNNNNNNNNNNNNNNNNNNNNNNNNNNNNNNNNNNNNNNNNNNNNNNNNNNNNNNNNNNNNNNNNNNNNNNNNNNNNNNNNNNNNNNNNNNNNNNNNNNNNNNNNNNNNNNNNNNNNNNNNNNNNNNNNNNNNNNNNNNNNNNNNNNNNNNNNNNNNNNNNNNNNNNNNNNNNNNNNNNNNNNNNNNNNNNNNNNGAAGAGAAGGCCUCCCUAAAUUGCAGCACACAUAUGAAAUGUAUAUAGUAUGCGCGUAUGUGUCUGGUGUUCUAGAUGUAUAAAGUGUACUCACACGCCACACAGCGGUUUUGUUCUCUACCCUUCGCCUAUGAACUAAGUCCCGACCAGGUGCGUUAGUAUUUAUACCCAGGCUCUAUGAGUGAGCUGGCUCCAUUGCUAGUUAUACUAGGUAAACGUCACAUACAUUGCUACGGAAAUUUAUAGCAAUGAAAUUUAAAAAAAUACCAUAUAUGUGAAUAAUACUACACAACAUUCUCAACAUAUGACAAUAGAAAACCUAGAUGUAACUGGAGGGUGGAUGCAUGUUAUAUUGUCUUGCAACCUUCAAGUUUAAUUAUUUGUUGUUGAAAGAUAAUAAAUAGUAAAAAAAUAAUAAGGUUAACAGCUUGCGUGUGUUUGAUUAUGUAGAGGGCUUGCAUAUGAUGGAAAGUGAAAAGUCUAAUGAUUACAUGCACCCUUGAUGAUGUAGAGGACUUGCAUGUGAUGAAAAAUGGUAAGUGAAAGUUGAUUGGUUGCAUGUCCUUCAUGAUGUGAUUAAUUUGCAUGUGCAUUUAGACUUACUUAGAUAUAUAGGAUAUGUGUGUGAAAGGUAACUGCACCCCCUGGUCAAGAUUAGUGGCGGAGCUACCCAAAAAUUGUUGGGCAGGUCAAGGUGGCCCAUCCUAAAGGAAACACGUUUUUCUCUCUCAAAAGGCCCAAGUUUACCUAUACUUGGCUAUGGGCUGGGCCGGCUAUGGCCCAUCUGGCCUUGUUGUAGCUCCAACAGUGGUCAAGACUAUCAAGAAAAGGCACCAUGAAAAUUAUAAUAACAGAUUUUCUCUUACUCAAUUCGCAACAAGAAAAAUCUCCCAGUGAUAGUGCUACGCAACAUUCGAGAGACCAUAAUAAUCUCUCACCCAUCCCAUGGUGCUGGCAGGGUCAACUCUAUAAUUUUGAGAGCGCUUGUGUGAAAUUGGCAAAUUGAUAGUCUUUUUCUUUUCUUUAUUGCGCAUGAAAACUCCUUUUAAGCAACAUUAUAGUAACCCUAAAACUGACAAGGAAAGUAAAUAAAGUACAUAAGUAGAAUUUUAGAAAUCAGAGCACUAACAUUUAACAUGCUUCGACGAAUGGGUGGCUCUGGUAAUAUGGCUAUGGGUACGAGGAAUGAGAGGCCUAGAGUGACAAGCUCAUGCUUCGCUGUCACAGAUGUCUGAGGAGGAGGCGAGACGCUCACGUCACCAAGCUACGAGACAAACCUGUGAAGAUGAAAAUCACGAAUUACAAUUAGGAGAACUGGUGACGCCAUGUGUCCGUGUCGCACGCCGAUUAUGAUUCUUUUCCUUUUUAUGGACCAGUUCAACCAACGGCUAAAGGCCUAAAGCUUGCUUCUUGGAGAGCGUGUAUACCUCAAUUUUAGGAAAGCUCCUUCUCAGUGCUUAUAGUGCUCAUUAGUGCCGCAGCGCACAAGAGCUCGCGCGCAUGGGUCAUCGCAUUAAAAGGCAAAGCGGUUGCUUGCUUGGCCACCCACUACACACUUUUUUUGCAAGCCUUUUUUUAAGGAUUCUCUGUUAUUCAAUGAAAAAAAUCCCACCGGUUUUCUAAAUUUAAAAAUUCAUGAAUAUGAAAAUUUUCAAAAAUUUGAAAAACAAUUACAGUUUGAAGAGAAUGAAUUGAAAAUUUUUGAAAAUUUUAAAAAAAAUCACAAAUUCAUUUUUUGUGAAUUUGAAAAAAGGUGAUUCAAAAAAGUUUGUGAAAUUUGAAAAAAAUCUCAUGAAUAUGAAAAAAUGGUCACAAAAUUGAAAAACUUCAAAAAUUUGAAAAAAAUGUUAGAGAAGUUUAAAAAUAAAAUAAUUAGAAAAAGAGAAAAAAAAAGGCAGAAGAGUAAAAAAGAAAAAUCAGGAUGAAAGUUUCCAUAACCAAAGUUGGCCCAUAAGCUUCUGGAAGCUUCCUAAAACCGACGGGAGGGAGCUUCUGCUCAUGUAAAUGCCAUAGAUUGGGCAGCCCUUUUACAAUCUAUUGAAGCAAGAGGUGCAUGCGCUUUUUAUCAAUAACUUGGAAACCAAUGGUAAAUAGCAUAUCUCCACUUUUAGCGCGGCGUAGAACGGAAUUCGACUACAGAUCCACAGUAUGGGCCAAUCCCAACAUGUUUUUCUAACAAGCUACUUUUUCUAUUGGGGCAGAUGUCUCACUCUAACGAGUAGGAUUUUUUUGUUCUUAUUUUCACAUUUUUCUUUUCAUUUUUUCUAAUUUUCUAGAAAACGCUCUAUAACAUAUAUGGGUGAUCAUAUAAUUUAAUAAGUUUUCAUGUACUUUAAAAAUGUUCAUCACCUAUUUAUAAAACGUUUUCAAAAUAUGAAACAUUUUUAAAAUACAAUUACAAUUACAAAAAGUGUUCAUAUUUUUCUGAAAAUAUACACUAUGAACAUUUUGAACAAUACGGAUGAAGAUUUAUUUUAAUACAUGAUGAACCUUUGUAAUCACAAUAUUUUCUAAAAAUACACAAAGAUUUUUAUAUACACAAUAAAUAUGUUGUUCAUACACGAUGAACAUUUUGUAAAAACAUGAGUGAACAUUGCCCAACUCCGAUGAGGAAGGGGCAAUGAUGGUAGUACCCCUUCGGCUUGCUCGACUGAUUGUAGACAUCGCUAGGUGGUCUAUGGACCUGAACAUAAGUUCUAUUACCUCUGGUGUUCUUGUAUUGACAUGAUGGUUGAUAAGUAGAUCGGAUUUUUUCGAUAUUUUUUUAAGAAAAAUGUUCAACUUGUCUUACAAAUUGUUCCGAAGAUUAAGAAAAAUAUAUUCGCAUUUUUUAAAAAGAACAUUGCAUUUCAAUUUUUUCACAUGUUUAGAAAUUGUUCAUGGCAAUAUUGAAAUAUAAAAAAUGUGUUAUUACAGUUUUGGAAAAAUGUUUGUGGUAUAUAAAAAUUGUUCAUCAUGUAUUUAUAAAACAAUCAAACUUGUAUUAAAAAAUAUUAUAUGUAUAUUUUAAAAAUGUUUAUUAUUUUUAAUAUUUUCAAUAUGUAUUUGAAAAUAGGAAAAUGAAAAACAAAACAUGAAGCAAUGAACAGGAAAAGUAAAAGAGAAACCAAAAAUGAAAAACCUAAACAAACCCAAUAAAGAAAACCCAGACAAAACGUUAUGAGAUCACAAGAAACAAACAAAUGCUACACACCUCCACCACUACUGGGCCACAGCCCACACCGCAUCGCCAGAGGUGAGCGCCUCGCGGUAGGCAGAGACAUAGCAUUUGCGUAAAAUGACCGCACGAAUUGAACAAACUGUCGGCUAGCUAGUUAUUAGAAAGACAUGUAACUUAAUUCAAACUCAACAAAAUUAUAGGUACAAUGCUUUGGAUCAUAGAUACAAGAAAUUAUAAAAUAACUCAUAUAACUAAGAAUUACAAUGAAACCCUCUUGAGUCAAAAUAUGAUAAACAGAGGAAAAAACAUUAGCACAUAUAAUCUUUACUCUAUCCGAAUAUAUGGCGGUGCUAAACUCAGCAACCCCAUUAGUUUUGGAGCUCCGGUUUCAUGGAGCCUUUUUUGGAAAAUCAUACAUUAAUAACUAAAACACGCGCGUGCAUGAGACUGGAGAAUGAGGGGCAUGCAACAUCAAAAUAGGUUAGUUUGUCGGAAUUAUAAGAUUUAAUAAUUUGAGACAAUAUGCAUAAUAAAACCCUCACUAGUGCAGUGUCGAAAACGCUCUUAUAUUGUGGGAUGGAGGAGUACAAUUUUGAAACUGUGCCCAGUAUAUCGGGCCAGAGGGAGAGCUUGAGAAAACACUGAGUCAGCGAAAACUCAGGUGUACGAAGCAGACCAUGGAGCCUUGGGGCUUCUUAACAGGUGGUCCUCACGCACGAGGUGGCUGCACAAUUGGGCCAGUUCCUUACCGGAGACCUUUCCUUUCCAUUCAUUGUGAAUUGAACUGAAGCGAUUGCUUUUUACUUUGUAUUGCAUUGCACAAACGUGUACACUGUCUAUCUUAAUUUCUAAAUGAUGGCCGGUCACAUGGACGUGUGAGCACGGGAUUGACAAGGCAACUAACACAAUUCUACUACUACGAGGAGGCAACUGAUAAUAUUGUUACUCACCCUACUAUCAUCAGAUGGAGACACACAAACAUAAUCCACUGGACAAGGCAACUAACAUAAUUUCUAUUACCACGAGGUUGCAACUAAUAGAGUAAAAAUAUUGUUACUCACAUGUACUAUCAUCAAAGAGACACACACGCAGAAUCCAGCUGUGCGUAUUAACACCUCUAGCUACCUCCGUAGGUCGCUUCAUUUGUAAUCAACUAAUCAACCAAUAUAACUCCAUUGACAUGUUACCCAGUACUACUUGUCACUCCAGCUACCUAGCUGCAAUUCUAAUUAAUGCACCCUCCAGAUCUGUUUUGUUUCACCCAGCCUAUAAAACCACACAGUAUGUAUCUCCAGCUCUCCACACAACACACACGCGCGCACACACAAAGCGCAGCAGGUUCAACACUAGCUACAAUCACAAGUAGGCAGCAAUGGCGAGGCAUCGCCUCCUCGCCGUGCUCCUCAUCGGCAUAGUUGCAGCCUCCGCCUUCAACCAAGCAGCUGUGGCUGGCCGAGGCCUUGCUGCCAUCGAGAAGUUUGCAGAGCUAGAGCCAAAGCCAGAACCUAAACAAGAGCUAAUGCCCAAACCUAUGCCACACACAGAGCCAGAGCCAUGCAAACCUGAACCGACGCCCAAACCCAAACCAAAGCCCGAACAAAAGCCUGGACAUAAGCCUGAGCCAGAACCCAAGCCCAAGCCGAUGCCAAAACCGAAGCCCGAGCCCUGCUCCAAACCAAAGCUGGUGCCAAAACCCGAACCAAAGCCAGAGCCCAAGCCUGAACCUGAACCGAAACCGAAGCCGCCUCCAAAGUGCAAACCACCGACAACGCACAAUUGAUGGGAUGCUUAUAUAUGAGAGUUGAUGGAGGAGACCCCGCACGGAGCCACACUGUGCUAUUUCUAGAAUAAGUGGUGUAGUACUCCUUGUAUUCCAUUUCUUUCUAUUUUUCCAUGCAGAGUACGUACUAGUACUCUGUAAUUACUAUUUGCUUGUUGGUAUAUGUUCAUCUACUUUGUAUGUGACUGACUCGUUGUUCUUUUGAGUAUCUACGCAUGAUUGUAUUCAUUCACAUCAAUGAGCUAUUUCGUUAGUGGACUGCAGUCUAUGUUGUUUUCUCUAUGGGGUUGUUUCAUAUUAUGUGGUCUUUUUUGGGGGGAAAGACGAUGUCAACAAAAAAGAAGAAAAUGACUCCCUAAAUAGCAGCACACAUAUGAAGUGUAUAGUGUGCGCGUACGUGCCUGGUGUUCUAGAUGUAUAAAGUGUACUCACACGCAAGACAACAGCCUUGUUCUCUACCCUUCACCUAUGAGCUAAGUCCCGACCGUGUGCGUUAGUAUUUAUGCCCAGGCUGACUCCGCUGCUGGUUAUACUAGCUAAACUUUGCACACAUUGCUACGAAAAUUUAUAGCAAUGAAAUUUUGAAAACUAGCAUAUAUGGGGAUAAUACUACACAACAUUCUCACCAUAUGUCAAUGAAAACCUACAUGUAAUGGAGGGUGGAUGCAUUUUAUAUUGUCUUGUGACCUUAUAGUUUAAUUAUUUCUUGCUGAACAUAAAUAGUAAAAAAUAAUGAGGUGAAGAGCUUUCAUGUGUUUGAUGAUGUGGAGGACUUGCAUAUGAUGAAAAGUGAAAAGUUGAAUGAUUACAUGCACGCUUGAUGAUAUGGAGGACUUGCCUGUGAUGAAAAGUGGUAAGUGAAAGUUUAUUGGCUGCAUGCCCUUCAUAAUGUGAUUGACAUGCAUGUGUAUUUAAAUGGGAUGACUUACUUAGAUACUAUAUAGGAUAUGUUUGAAAGAUAACUACACCCCCUAGGUCAAGAUUACCAAGAAAAACACCAUGGAAAUUAUUAUUAAUAGAUUUUCUCUUACUCAAUUCGCAACAAGAAAAAACACUCAACGACAAUGCUAUGCAACAUAAGAGAGACCACAAUAAUCUCUCACCCACCCCAUGGUACUGCCAGGGUAGGCUCUAUGAUUUUAAGAGCCCUUGGGUGAAGUUGGCGAAUUGAUCAUCCUUAUUUUUUCCUUUUUCAACACUCAACAAAUCUUUUUUAAGAAACAUUAUAGUAACCCUAAAACUGACGAGGAAAGUAAAUACAUAAAUUGAACUUUGAAAUUAGAGGUCUAACAUUUAACAUGCUUCGAGGAAUGGGUGGCACUGAUAAUAUGGCUAUGGAUGCAUGCAAUGAGAGAUCUAGAGAGUGACAAGCUCGUGCCUUGUUGUCCUUGACGUAUGAGGAGGCGGCGAGACUCACGUCGUCAAGCUUCGAGACAAACCUGCAACGACGAAGAUCGUGAAUUGCAAUAAGGAGAACUGGUGAUGCCAUGUGUCCAUGUCGCAUACCGAUUGUGAUUCUUUUCCUUUUGAUGGACUAGUUCAACCAACGGCUAAAAGCCUAAAGCUUGCUUUUAGGAGAGCGUGUAUACCUCACUUUUAGUAGAGCUCCUUCUCAACGCUUAUAGCGCUCGCUGCAGCGCACAUGUGCUCGUGCAAAUGGGUCUUCCCAUUAAUUGGUAAAGCAGUUGCUCGCCCGACCGCCCACUACACUCCUUUUUUGCCGCCUUCUUUUCCUGGUAUUGCUCUAUAUAUUAUUCAAUGAAAGAAAACUUCCACCGGGUUUACAAAUUUAAAAAAAUCAUGAAUAUGAAAAGGUUCACAAAUGUGAAAAAAUACGGAUUUGAAAAUAUAAUUUAUUCAAAAACAUGGACAACUUCUAAAAAAUCACAAAUUCAUUUUUUGCGAAUUCGAAAAGGUGAAUUAAAAAAUUGUAAUUUCAAAAAACUCGCAAAUAUGAAAAAAUGUUCACAAAAUAAAGAGUUCAUGAAUUUAAAAAUAAUAAAAGAAUGCAAACAGAAAAGAGAAACAAGGCGGAAAAGUAAAAAAGAAAAACCAGGCAGAAAGUUUACAGAACCAAAGUUGACCCAUAAGCUUUUGGAAAAUUCCUAAAAACGGGAGGGAGCUUCCGCUCACGUAAACCCCAUAGAUUGGCCACCCCUUAUACGAUCUAUUGAAGGAAGAGGUGUAUGCGCUUUCUACCAAUAACUUAGACACUAGUGCUAAAUAGCAUAUUUCCACUUUUAGCGAGGGGUAGAACGAAAUUUGACUAUAAAGCCACGGCAUGGGCCAAUCGCAACAUUUUCUUUCUAACAAACAAGAUUUUUCUAUAGGGGCACACGUCUCACUCUAAUGAGCGUGUUUUUUUCAUUCUUAUUUUCACUUUUUUUUCUCAUUUUCUAGAAAACGUUCUAUAAAAUAUAUGGGUUUGUACUUUUGGUAAGUGAUCAUGUAGUUUAAUAAGUGUAAAUGUACUUAAAAAUGCUCAUCAUGUAUUUAUAAAACAUUUUCAAAAAAAUCAAACAUUUUUCAAAUACACAUAGAACUGAAAAGUGUUCAAAUAUUUUCCGAAAAUAUACACUGUGAACAUUUUGAACAAUAUAGGAUGAAGAUUUCUUUCAAUACAUGAUGAACCUUUCAAAUAACAAUAUUUUUCUAAAAUUGCACAAUGAUUUUUUUAAAUCCAUGAUAAUGUUUAAAUAUACAAUAUUAUUUUCAUACACGACGAACAUUUUGAAAAAACAUGAGUGAGCAUUGCCCAACUCCCAUGAGGGAGGGGCGAUGAUCGUGGUGCACUUUCGGCUUGGUCGAGUGAUUGUAGACAUCGCUAGGUGGUCUAUGGAACUGGAUGUAAGUUAUGUUACUUCAGGUGUUCUUAUACUGACAUGAUAGUUGAUAAAUAGAUCGAAAGUUUUUUUUUGUAAAAAAUAAAAGAAACAUUUCGAACUUGUCUUAAAAAUUGUUCCUGAGAUUUUGAAAAUAUAUUUGCCUUGUUCCAAAAAAUUACAUUUUCAUUUUUCACAUGUUUAGAAAAUUGUUCAUGGCAAUACUAAAAAUGUUUCAUUAUAAAAAAAGUUCUUACAUUUUUUAUAAAAAUGUUCAUAGUAUAUCAAAAAAUUUCAUCAUGUAUUUAUAAAACGUUCAAAUAUGUAUUGGAAAAAUAUUAUAUGUGUAUUUUUAAAAAUAUUUUGAAAAAAAAUCAGCAUGUAUUUGAAAUAUGGAAAAAUGAAAAAGAAAAUACAAAACAAAACAUGAAAUAAAUGAAGAAAAGUAAAAGGGGUAUGAAAAUGAAAAACCUAAAGAAACGCGAUAAAGAAACCAGAAGAAAAAACCCAAACAGAAUGUUUCAAAAAUCGCACGAAACGAACCAAUGCUACGCCUCCACCGCGACUGGGCCACAGCCCGCACACCAUUGCCAGAGGUGAGGGCCGCAUUUGCGCAAAAUGACCGCACACAUUGAACAAACUGUCAGCUAGCUAGUUAUUAGAAUGACAUGUAACUUUAUUCAAACUCAACAAAGUUACAGGUACAAUGCUUUGAUCAUGCAUACAAGAAAUUAUAAAAUAAUUCCUAUAACUAAGAAUUACGAUGCAACCCUCUUGAGUAAAAGUAUGACAAACGGAGGAAAAAAAUAUUAGCACAAUAUAAUCCUUGCUCUAUCCGAAUAUAUGGCGGUACAAAACUCAGCAACCCCGUUCGUUUUGGAGCUCCGGCUCCAUGAGGCCUUUUUUGGAAAAUCAGACAUGCAUAACUAAAACAUACGUGAUCUAACAUAUCUUAUAUUAGUUUACAGAGGGAGUACAUGCAUAAGUAAAACAUACGCAUGCAUGAGACUGGAGAAUGAGGGGCAUGCAUCGUCAAAAUAGGGUAGUUUGUCGGACAGUUAUAAGAUUUAAUAAUUUGGGGCAAUAAGCAUGAUAAAUCCUCAUUGGUAUCUAUAAUUUUGAAACUGUGCCCAGUAUACCGGGCCAGAGGGAGUGCUUGAGAAACACUUUUUACAAAAAGAAGGAUAACCCCUGAUCUAUGCAUAAGCAAUGCACACAGCCACUUUUAUUAUAUUAUUCAACAAAAUCUGACAAAACUAGUACAUGGACAACAUAAAGCCAUCUUCAUGGCAACCACUUGAGAAAACACUGAGUCCGUGAAAACUCGGUCGACGAAGCAGUCCAGGGAGCCUUGGGGCUUCCAACAGGUGGUGAAGCUCCCGCACAGGGUGUACGAUCGGGCCAAUUCCUUUCCAUUGUGAAUUGAACUGAAGUGAUUGCUUUUUUUUUACUUUGUAUUGCAAUUGCACUAACAUAAUUCUAAUGAUGGACGGUCACAUGGACGUGUGAGCACGGGAUUGACAAGCCAACUAACAUAAUUCUAUUACUACGAGGAUGCAACUAAUAGACUAAAAAUAUUGUUACUCACCCCCGCUGUCAUAACAAAGAGACACACACGCAAAAUCCAGCUGUGCUUAUUAACACCUCUACCUACCUAGGUUGCUUCAUUUGUAAUCAACUAAUCAACGAAUAUAACUCCAUUGACGUGUUAUGCAGUACUCUUUCACUUCAGCUAGCUAGCUGCAAUUCUAAUUAAUGCAGCCUCCAGAUCUGCUUUGUUUCACCAAGCCUAUAAAACCACACAAUAUGUAUCUCCAGUUCUCCACACAACACACACACACACACACACACACACACAAAACACAGCAGGUGCAACACUAGCUAGCUGUAAGCAUAAGAAGUAGGCAGCAAUGGCGAGGCAUCGCCUCCUCGUCGUGCUCCUCAUCGGGAUAGUUGCAGCCUCCGCCUUCAACCAAGCAGCUGCCGCUGGCCGAGGCCUUGCUGUCGUUGAGAAGUUUGCAGAGCUAGAGCCAAAGCCAGAGCCCAAACCAGAACCAAUUCCCAAGCUUACGCCACACCCAGAGCCAGAGCCUUGCAAACCUGAACCAAUGCCCAAACCCAAACCAAAACCCGAACAAAAGCCCGGACAGAAGCCCGAACCAGAACCCAAGCCCAAGCCAAUGCCAAAACCAAAGCCCGAGCCCUGCUCCAAACCAAAGCCAGAUCCUAAGCCCGAGCCGAUGCCGAAACCCGAACCAAAGCCGGAGCCCAAGCCUAAACCUGAACCGAAACCGAAGCCGCCUCCGAAGUGCAAAUCACCGGCAACACACAAUUGAUGGGAUAAUUAUAUAUGACACUUGACGAAGGAGACCUGGAAUGGAGCCACACUGUGUUAUUGUUAGAAUAAGUGGUGUAGUAUUCUCUGUAUUCACUUUCUUUUUAUUGUUCCAUGAGCGCGUGAUGAGUAUUAGAACUCUGUGAUUAUUAUUUUCUUGUUGCUAUAUGUUCAUCUACUUUGUAUGUGACCAGACUCGUUGUUCUUUUGAGUAUAAGUGCAUGAUUGUAUUCAUUCGCAUGAAUGAGCUAUGUUGUCCAGUGGGCUGCAGUCUAUUGUUG